RNAcentral lists this small RNA (125 nucleotides) under Marmota monax (woodchuck). The record is from RNAcentral. Lineage: Eukaryota; Metazoa; Chordata; Mammalia; Rodentia; Sciuridae.
GCCAGGUGCGGUGCCUCACACCUGUAAUCCCAGUAGCUUAGGAGGCUGAGGCAGGAGGAUUGCGAGUUCAAAGCCAGCCUCAGCAACAGUGAGGUGCUAAGCAACUCAGUGAGACCCUGUCUCUA